This 698-nucleotide ribosomal RNA is filed under the name uncultured bacterium. RNAcentral describes it as "bacterial SSU rRNA". It matches the Rfam family "Bacterial small subunit ribosomal RNA", at positions 111 to 823 of the family's 1533-position model. The record is from RNAcentral.
UAACGCGUGAGUAACCUGCCUUGGAGUGGGGAAUAACAGCUGGAAACAGCUGCUAAUACCGCAUAAUAUGUCUGUGUCGCAUGGCACUGGACAUCAAAGAUUUAUCGCUCUGAGAUGGACUCGCGUCUGAUUAGCUANUUGGUGGGGCAACGGCCCACCAAGGCGACGAUCAGUAGCCGGACUGAGAGGUUGGCCGGCCACAUUGGGACUGAGACACGGCCCANACUCCUACGGGAGGCAGCAGUGGGGAAUAUUGGGCAAUGGGCGCAAGCCUGACCCAGCAACGCCGCGUGAAGGAAGAAGGCUUUCGGGUUGUAAACUUCUUUUCUCAGGGACGAAGCAAGUGACGGUACCUGAGGAAUAAGCCACGGCUAACUACGUGCCAGCAGCCGCGGUAAUACGUAGGUGGCAAGCGUUAUCCGGAUUUACUGGGUGUAAAGGGCGUGUAGGCGGGAAAGCAAGUCAGAUGUGAAAACCAUAGGCUCAACCUGUGGCCUGCAUUUGAAACUGUUUUUCUUGAGUACUGGAGAGGCAGACGGAAUUCCUCGUGUAGCGGUGAAAUGCGUAGAUAUGAGGAGGAACACCAGUGGCGAAGGCGGUCUGCUGGACAGCAACUGACGCUGAGGCGCGAAAGCGUGGGGAGCAAACAGGAUUAGAUACCCUGGUAGUCCACGCUGUAAACGAUGGAUACUAGGUGU